This is a non-coding RNA of Triticum urartu, 126 nucleotides long. The record is from Rfam. Lineage: Eukaryota; Viridiplantae; Streptophyta; Magnoliopsida; Poales; Poaceae.
CUACUACUCCCUCCGUCCGAAAAAGUUUGUCCCAAACUUGUCCCUUAAAUGGAUGUAUCUAUCACUAACUUGAUGCUAGAUACAUCCAUUUGAAGAACAAACUUUUUCGGAUGGAGGGAGUACAAA